RNAcentral lists this ribosomal RNA (278 nucleotides) under Glomus sp. (unid). The record is from RNAcentral. Lineage: Eukaryota; Fungi; Glomeromycota; Glomeromycetes; Glomerales; Glomeraceae.
CAGUCGUACUUGCGGAUAAUCAACCUUUAGAUGCGAUUUUGUGGAGCGUCAAGAGUUAAACGCCUUCAUGCCUGCAUAUUCGUAUACUUUGGGUGUACUUAUUCGUGUGGUAAGUUAACAUCAAUUUUGGUGAUCAUAAAAUGACUAGAGGAAUGUAGCUUCGAUCUCGUAUUGAAGUGUUAUAGCCUUUGGUAGACCGUGAUGGAUUGGGGAUUGGAGGAUUGCAACGGAUACCCUUCGGGCUACCUGACUGAUCUCUGGAAGUUGCUCUGGUGCUG